RNAcentral lists this long non-coding RNA (250 nucleotides) under Mytilus galloprovincialis (Mediterranean mussel). The record is from RNAcentral. Lineage: Eukaryota; Metazoa; Mollusca; Bivalvia; Mytilida; Mytilidae.
UGUCUGAAAGCUGAAAUUUCUUUCUUUCUUUUUAUAAUGGCCUUUUGCUCUGCUUUUUAUGCAUUUUUUUUUAAUAUAUCUGCCAUUAAAUGCUAGUGCUUAUAUUUAUUUAUUUAUUGUUUUUAUGCUUUUAGUCUGUUAUAUUUUAUGAUCCCAAGUGAUUUGCUGAUUCCCCCGUUUCAAUGCACAUAGAGGCACUUGCCACAUGAACUUUGACUCUGGAGGCUCACAAAUCAAAUAGAGUUGCUUU